Molecule: long non-coding RNA, 815 nt
Filed under: Brassica napus (rape)
Lineage: Eukaryota; Viridiplantae; Streptophyta; Magnoliopsida; Brassicales; Brassicaceae
Description: long non-coding RNA (BNAP_LNC018022)
Source: RNAcentral
UCGAAUUUUAAAGAGUUGAUUGGCUUCCUAAAUUUAUAAUUAAGAUUAAUCUUAAAACUGUUUAGGGCCUCACGGAAGAUCCAAAAGAUCAGAUUCCUUCUAACUGCAAAAGAUCAAGGCAGAUUCUGAUCUAAUCGCAUCCGAGCUAAAACCUAUGCUUCACAGUGCAAACUAAUACGAACGAUCUGUUCCCUAAUGUCUAAGCUCAAUACAUUUUACGAUAAAGAGGUUAUUAUUUACCAGCUGAGAGAUAGCUUUGGGGAAGAGAUGGUGGUGGCGGCCAUGGGAGUUCGACGGAGGAGCUCGAUUCUCGAAAUGGAAAUGAGCCAAGACUUUCCGAUCGGGCAGAGGCUUCAACAGCAACGACUCGCUGAACUCUUCUUCUACUUCGUUCGAUCCGAAAGCUAUCGCGAGCAGAAACGAUUGCAGAAUUAACAAAGGGAUAACGGUUCUAGCCAUAAUCGGAUCCGGAGACGGUUACUGGCUUGUGUUACCGUCGAUCGAGCAUUACAGAGUAGAUCGCUGAGCUCCGGCGAGGAGAAACGCGUUUUGAGGUGUAAACGCUGGAAUAGACGCGAUUUAAGAGCGUUUGCGGAUAAAGGCGAAAUCGUGGAUUGAAAAACGAAUUUAUCAGACCCGAAGACGUGAGAGCAGAUUGGUUUACUUUACUCGCAACAUUUUUAAUUCAGCGCUUCUGUACAAUCUUAAGCUAUAUGACAACUAUAUAAAUGGAAAAAAAAAUGUAAAGAGAAUCUAUCAAACCGCCAUAACUAGAGCAACACACAAAUAUAUUACUAGUUAUGGUAAAAUUAAAC